Long non-coding RNA from Manacus vitellinus (golden-collared manakin), 2018 nucleotides. The record is from Ensembl. NCBI's taxonomy places the organism in Eukaryota, Metazoa, Chordata, Aves, Passeriformes, Pipridae.
UUGGCAGUGGCAGCUCUGCCCGGUGAUCCCGGGCUGGCUUUGUGCCCCUGUGGGCACACUGAGGGUGCCCCGGCCUGGGGCAGUGCCCAACCUGCACUGGGGGUCCUCUGGGCUCCCCCCUGCCCUGCUCCCCCCUCCUCUGGCCAUUCAGAAAGUUUGGGAUGGCUCAAACCAGACCAGAGCACAUCAUGUCAGGGCAGGAGCUCUGCCAGCAGCAGCAGGGCCACAUCUCAGAUCUCUGUGUUUUCUUUUACAUGCUCUUUCUUUAUAAAUAUUAUAUAUUUUCUUUUAUAAAUUUUUUAUUAUUUUUCUUUAUAUAUAUUUUAUAUUUUCUUUUUAUAAACAUUUUCUAUUUCUCUACUUUCUUUUCUAUUUAUUUCCUUUCUAUUUAUUUCCUUUCUAUUUAUUUCCUUUCUAUUUAUUUCCUUUCUAUUUAUUUCCUUCCUAUUUAUCCCUUCAUAUUUAUCCCUUCCUAAUUAUCCCUUCCUAUUUAUCCCUUCCUAUUUAUCCCUUCCUAUUUAUUAUCCCUUCCUAUUUAUAAUUUCCUUCAUAUUUUUCUUUGUAUUUUCCUUAUAUUUAUUUUUCUUAUACUUAUUUUCCAUAUAUUUUCUUUACGUUCUCCUCAUAUUUUUUUUUCCUUCUUUCCUCUUUUCCCUCCCCUAUAUCAUCUCUCCUCCCCCCCUUCCCCAUUUCCAUCCCUCCCCUGUCUCCCCUCUGGCAGCCCACGCCAGGCCAGCCCUUGGAGCCCCAGGAGACCAGCACCAAAAACCCUCUGGAGGAGCCUGAACCCCCUGAACCAGAUGGGACCCCCCCAGCCCCCCUGCAGGGCAGGACAGCCCCGACCCCCACGGGCCCAGAGAACACCCUGAGCCCCCCAAAUGUGGGGGUUGAGGAUGACAAAGGCACAGAAAAGGAGAGCGAGGAGUGGGACAACGACAGCGGCGAGACCUCGGUGUGGGACAGCUCUGACCUGGGCACAGAGACCCUCGGAGCCCACCCGGAAAUCCCUCUGGGGGACCUUCCCCAGACCCGCUCCGGGCUCCAGGCCUACAGGACCCACCUGCUCAUGGAGCUCAUGUGGCUGCAACAGGCUAUUGCCAGCAGGAAAAACGUGAGGACCUGGCCCUGCCUCUUCCCAAACAGCAGGGGCAGCCCCUCCAAAAGUGGGGCUGGCUGGGGACAAUCCCAUUAUCCAGGGAUUGGGCUGGGUGGGGACAGGGGUUUUGCUGUUUGAUCUGCCCCUGGGUCUCUGAGAUUUAAUCAUCAGUGUUUGGUUUUCUUCCUCUUCCAGUUCUUGAUGCUGAAGCAGAAGCUGGGGAUUCCUGACUCCUUGGAAGGCAUUCCCAACCCCCUGGAUGGGUGUGGGGAAGCCGUGGAGCUGCAGCACCACGGGUGACCUCAGGGGAGCUCCAGCUCCGUGGGUUGAUGGUUUUAACUUCAGCAGAAUGUGGCAAGAAAGCCUCUUAGCUCUUGUAGAUGUGAAUGUUUGGUCAGAGCAGGAUUAAACACUGUGGAGCCAGGGAGGUUGUGGUGUGUGCUGGAGGAAUUCCCUGUGAGGAUCCUUCCACAAGGACCCCAUUCCUGUUGGCUGAGCUGGGUGAUCCGGGGGGAGAAAAUGGAGGAUGGGAAGAUUUUUCACUUACAGAAGGUGCUUUUGGACUGAAAUGCCUGAAGGCAGCAGGUGCUGGGACCUGCAGGAACAGCCUGUUCCUCUCUGAACUAUGUGGGAAUCUGAGCUGAGUGUUUGGGAGGGCUCUGCACUUCACACCUCUGCAAUAUCCAGGAUCUCCAAGUGCCCGCGGUGGAUUUUGGGAACACUGGACCAGUGCCUCAGGGAGGUUGGGAAGUGCUCUAUCUGUUCCUGUAGCUCAGGAACAUUCCAGGUCCCUGGAAAAGGGACUUUCCAUGUGGUGCUGUGGUUCCCCCCCGUGAUUCCCCCUCUGCAUUCCUGCUCCCUGAACAGCCUCUGUUGCCAGGUGGCAGAUGGAUCCCUCUGUUCCAGAAUAGAUCCCCACUUG